GUGUCAGCAGCCGCGGUAAGACAGAGGGUGCAAACGUUGUUCGGAAUUACUGGGCGUAAAGCGCGUGUAGGCUGCUUGGAAAGUCGGAUGUGAAAGCCCUGGGCUCAACCUAGGAAGUGCAUUCGAAACUUCUGAGCUUGAGUAUCGGAGAGGAAGGCGGAAUUCUCGGUGUAGAGGUGAAAUUCGUAGAUAUCGAGAGGAACACCGGUGGCGAAGGCGGCCUUCUGGACGAUUACUGACGCUGAGACGCGAAAGCGUGGGGAGCAAACAGGAUUAGAUACCCCCGUAGUCC
Molecule: ribosomal RNA, 292 nt
Filed under: uncultured bacterium
Lineage: Bacteria
Description: partial 16S ribosomal RNA
Rfam family: Bacterial small subunit ribosomal RNA
Source: RNAcentral